AUGUCAUCUUAUCUUACCAUCACCGCACAAACCUUAACCUUCAUUGUCAGUUUCAAUGCCCUGCGAUGGGCAAAAGUCAUAUUGGAGAGCAUGGCACCUGAGCUCUAUGGGAUGCACGCCAAUCCCAACUGUAUGAACAAAUAUGGAUACUUUGCGCUCCAUGAAGCUGCUGAAAGGUUCUCUGUCGACAUGAUCAAGCUGCUUUUACGCCAUGGUGCAUCACCAAAUGUGUGCGCAGUUGGCAAUGAUGUCAUUGAGAAUCUACUCCCGCUCCAUGUCGCAGUUGAGAAUACUUGUCUGCAUAAGUAUCUAGAGGACAAUCUGGAGUACAAUCUUUCUCGCAGCCAGAAUCAUCUGGAUUAUAUCUACAAGCUUAUUCAUCUGCUGUGUCUACCUGAAAUGAAGAUCUUCUUGGACACAACUAGACUGCUUGCAGGGAAAACAAAUAAUCUACUUCAAGAGCUCUGGAAUUACAUUGAGGAUGGAAAAAUUAUCCAGUCUGCUGUUCUACUACUGGCUGCUCAAGAGCAGAUCCGCAGUAGUAAGAAAAAUGGGUUUGGCCUUAUCAGUAACUGUAUAAUGAGGCUUUCAUAUUCCUUGAGAUGGGAGAAAGGUUCACAUGGAAUGGCACCGGAGCUUCUGGAGGAAAGGAAGACAUUUACGGAUUGCGCAUGGCUGCUUGUUGAUGUAAUUUCCUAUGCCGGUGAAAAUCUUUCUGCAUACAUUCAAGCACAUUCUGAGGUGCCCCAUGUGGAGGUCUUUCAACAUGUUUCAUCUAUCCUCAAGGAGUAUGGAUUUUGCCCUACUGGAGAUCCCAUGGACACUGUAAACCUGUACUACCCUUUGUAUUGCUUCACACAAUAA
Molecule: ribosomal RNA, 864 nt
Filed under: Triticum aestivum (bread wheat)
Lineage: Eukaryota; Viridiplantae; Streptophyta; Magnoliopsida; Poales; Poaceae
Description: partial small subunit ribosomal RNA
Source: RNAcentral